UCCUACGGGAGGCAGCAGGGGGGAAUUUUCCGCAAUGGGCGAAAGCCUGACGGAGCAAUGCCGCGUGAAGGCAGAAGGCCCACGGGUCAUGAACUUCUUUUCUCGGAGAAGAAAAAAUGACGGUAUCCGAGGAAUAAGCAUCGGCUAACUCUGUGCCAGCAGCCGCGGUAAGACAGAGGGUGCAAGCGUUAUCCGGAAUGAUUGGGCGUAAAGCGUCUGUAGGUGGCUUUUCAAGUCCGCCGUCAAAUCCCAGGGCUCAACCCUGGACAGGCGGUGGAAACUACCAAGCUGGAGUACGGUAGGGGCAGAGGGAAUUUCCGGUGGAGCGGUGAAAUGCGCUGAGAUCGGAAAGGACACCAACGGCGAAAGCACUCUGCUGGGCCGACACUGACACUGAGAGACGAAAGCUAGGGGAGCAAAUGGGAUUAGAUACCUUGGUAGUCCUAGCCGUAAACGAUGGAUACUAAGUGCUGUGCGUAUCGACCCGCGCAGUGCUGUAGCUAACGCGUUAAGCAUCCCGCCUGGGGAGUACGUUCGCAAGAAUGAAACUCAAAUGAAUUGACGGA
RNAcentral lists this ribosomal RNA (566 nucleotides) under uncultured bacterium. Its description in RNAcentral is "bacterial SSU rRNA". It matches the Rfam family "Bacterial small subunit ribosomal RNA", at positions 337 to 917 of the family's 1533-position model. The record is from RNAcentral.